UCCCGUAUUUGGCCAUGGGUCGGUGUCCUACGCGCUCCGGAGAGUCGGGUUGCUCGGGAUUGCAGCCUGAACGGGAGGUAAAUUUCUCCCAAAGCUAAAUACUGGCGAGAGACCGAUAGCGAACAAGUACCGUGAGGGAAAGAUGCAAAGAACUUUGAAAAGAGAGUUAAAAAGUACCUGAACUUGUUGGGGGGAAAGCGGUUGCUUCCAGUGUGCGCGCGUCGAUUCAGCCCGCGAGGGUGUACUUUGGCGCGCGCGGUCAGGGUGGGUUUGGCGCGGCGUUGACGUCGCUCGCGAGGCCUUCGGGCAACCGUGCGUUCGUGCGUCGCUCCUGACCGAGGCUCGCUCUGCUGCGGGGUCGGCGUAUCGUCUAGGCGUCUCACAAGCAACUUGUGCUCGCCGGGCGUGAUUCCCUACCCGCUCGUGUAGCGUGACCCUGACGAAAUGGGCGCCACCGACCCGUCUAGAAACACGGACCAAGGAGUCUGACGACUGCGCGAGUCUUCGGGUUGCAAGCCCGUGGGCGUAAUGAAAGUGAGUGAUGCUCAGCAUCGACCGACCGUGAUCUCCUGUGAUUGGUUUGAGUAUGAGCGUGGUCGCCGGGACCCGAAAGAUGGUGAACUAUGCCUGAGUAGGGUGAAGCCUGAAGAAAUUCAGGUGGAGGCUCGUAGCGAUACUGACGUGCAAAUCGUUCGUCGAACUUGGGUAUAGGGGCGAAAGACUAAUCGAACCAUCUAGUAGCUGGUUCCCUCCGAAGUUUCCCUCAGGAUAGCUGGAGCUCUUUGUUCAGUUUUGU
RNAcentral lists this ribosomal RNA (796 nucleotides) under Diacronema lutheri. Its description in RNAcentral is "partial 28S ribosomal RNA". It matches the Rfam family "Eukaryotic large subunit ribosomal RNA", at positions 219 to 1004 of the family's 3401-position model. The record is from RNAcentral. Lineage: Eukaryota; Haptophyta; Pavlovophyceae; Pavlovales; Pavlovaceae.